GUCAGAGUGGUGCAUGAUUUCUCUUCAUAGACCAGCUGUGUAAAUGGGCUCAAAACCCCCAUAAUACUUCAUUCAGCAAGCUUAAAUGGGGACAAUUUAUCUUAUGUCCCCGUAACGCUGUGUGCAGUCAGGUGAAAACGUCCCGUAACGCUGUGUGCAGUCAGGUGAAAACGUCCCGUAACGCUGUGUGCAGUCAGGUGAAACCAUCCCGUAACACUGUGUGCAGUCAGGUGAAACGUCCCGUAACGCUGUGUGCAGUCAGGUGAAACCAUCCCGUAACACUGUGUGCAGUCAGGUGAAACGUCCCGUAACGUUGUGUGCAGUCAGAUGAAACGUCCCGUAACACUGUGUGCAGUCAGGUGAAACGUCCCGUAACGCUGUGUGCAGUCAGAUGAAACGUCCCGUAACGCUGUGUGCAGUCAGAUGAAACGUCCCGUAACACUGUGUGCAGUCAGGUGAAACGUCCCGUAACGCUGUGUGCAGUCAGAUGAAACGUCCCGUAACGCUGUGUGCAGUCAGAUGAAACGUCCCGUAACGCUGUGUGCAGUCAGGUGAAACCGUCCCCGUAACGCUGUGUGCAGUCAGGUGAAACGUCCCGUAACGCUGUGUGCAGUCAGAUGAAACGUCCCGUAACGCUGUGUGCAGUCAGAUGAAACGUCCCGUAACGCUGUGUGCAGUCAGAUGAAACGUCCCGUAACGCUGUGUGCAGUCAGAUGAAACGUCCCGUAACGCUGUAUGCAGUCAGGUGAAACGUCCCGUAACGCUGUAUGCAGUCAGGUGAAACCAUCCCGUAACACUGUGUGCAGUCAGGUGAAACGUCCCGUAACGCUGUGUGCAGUCAGGUGAAACCGUCCCGUAACGCUGUGUGCAGUCAGGUGAAACGUCCCGUAACGCUGUGUGCAGUCAGAUGAAACCGUCCCCGUAACGCUGUGUGCAGUCAGGUGAAACCGUCCCUGUAACGCUGUGUGCAGUCAGAUGAAACGUCCCGUAACGCUGUAUGCAGUCAGAUGAAACGUCCCGUAACGCUGUAUGCAGUCAGGUGAAACUGUCCCGUAACACUGU
This is a long non-coding RNA of Epinephelus fuscoguttatus (brown-marbled grouper), 1062 nucleotides long. RefSeq lists it as uncharacterized. The record is from RefSeq and is a predicted model, not a curated record. The transcript has 4 exons. NCBI's taxonomy places the organism in Eukaryota, Metazoa, Chordata, Actinopteri, Perciformes, Serranidae.